RNAcentral lists this ribosomal RNA (406 nucleotides) under uncultured bacterium. RNAcentral describes it as "partial 16S ribosomal RNA". It matches the Rfam family "Bacterial small subunit ribosomal RNA", at positions 30 to 526 of the family's 1533-position model. The record is from RNAcentral.
AUUGAACGCUGGCGGCAGGCCUAACACAUGCAAGUCGAACGAGCGGCGGACGGGUGAGAAAUGUAUGGGAAACUGCCUGAUGGAGGGGGAUAACUACUGGAAACGGUAGCUAAUACCGCAUACCCUCAGAUGUGCCCAGAUGGGAUUAGCUAGUAGGUGGGGUAACGGCGCACCUAGGCGACGAUCCCUAUCUGGUCUGAGAGGAUGACCAGCCACACUGGAACUGAGACACGGUCCAGACUCCUACGGGAGGCAGCAGUGGGGAAUAUUGCACAAUGGGCGCAAGCCUGAUGCAGCCAUGCCGCGUGUAUGAAGAAGGCCUUCGGGUUGUAAAGCACUUUCAGCGGGGAGGCGUUACCCGCAGAAGAAGCACCGGCUAACUCCGUGCCAGCAGCCGCGGUAAUUC